CCUCUUUCCCCUCCCUCCUCCUCCUCCCUUCUCCUCCUCCUCCUUCCUAGUUCCUGCAGUUUGGGUCUCUUUUAGGUUUGUUGAUUUAUAAUUUUAAAUAGGCAAUAGAUUAACACACUUCAAGUAUUUUAUUUUCAACUAUUCAAAGGUAUACAGUGAAAAGCCUUCACCCCAGAAGAACAUCAGACAAGUCCUCUAACUGAGGAACCAUCUAUAAAGUAUCUGACCAGUCCUCAAAACUGUCAAGGCCACCAAAAACAAGGCAAGACUGAGAAACUGCCACAGCCAGGAGGAGCCUAAGGAGACAGGACCAUUAAAUGUGAUGUGGGAGCCUGCAUGGGAUCCUGGAACAGAAAAAGGACAUUUGGGGAAAACUAAGGAAAUCCGAGGCAAGAUGGACUUCAGGCAAUCAUAGAUCAGUGCUGGUUCAUUAACUGUAACCAAAGUACCACACUAACCCUGGAAAGACCCUCAUUCCUGUGGCCAGUUCCCUGUUCAUGGACUUGGGCUCUGCGAUGUCCUGCAGUCCUAACACGACUUGAGGACAAAACCGAGGGCAUAACCCUGGCAAACAGUGGACUUCGAAUCUCUACCUCGCUGUCCUUGAAGUUGGCCCGCCAGCAAACUGCCUGAGUUUUUGAAGCACUUCAAACUUCCAACCGUCAGUGCAUGCCCCCAAAGCCCUUCUGCACGCCGGUCGUCGGCUGGAGUUCAUUCUUAAUUUACGUUUCUUAAGGUGACCAGCCUCCUACGUGGCCAAAAGAUGAGGUGUUCGGCAUCUGUUACGAGCCUGGGCCGUGAGCCUCUGGCGAAGAUUUCUCACUCUCUCCAUAAGAUCCUGUUCCAUGGUGUCCCAUUGUACUCUUCUUUGAUUUAAAGAAACUUGAAAACAAAAUUUUAAGAGUUCAGCUCAUCAGCAUGAAGCCGAUGGUCUCCAGCAGUUCCAACACCAGUGGCCUCAGCGGUCCAUCACGGUGCCGAGAGCAAACACACAUUUUCAGUGGCUGCUGGAUGGAGCCCAGCCCAGAAGAAGAGAGUCAGAAAAUUUCAAAUACGUAAUAGCUUUGAAAACCAAUGCUCAGAUUUUCUUUCCAGAAGGAUGUAAAAAACAGUUACGAAUGUCAUUAAUGUAGUGAGUAACAGACUUCUGUAGCAGCCUGCAACCGUUUCUGGACAAUGAAAUUCAUUCCGGUGCUAAUGAAAUCGCAUCGAUAUCUGGUAAACGCUCCUGACUUGGUUUCGGUCUGAUCUCUUUUUAACUCCCCAUUAGAAAUUUGAGAAUUCUGCUCCCUCCAUUUCAGGAUUGCCAUUAUCCAUGCCCUGGGAAAAUGGCGUCAAUAUGCUGUAAAUAUAAUUCAAGCCACAAUCUUGCUUAAAUUAAUGCUAAAUUUUAAAUGGCAGAAGAGGGGCACCUGGGUGGCCCAGUAGGCUGGGCGCCCAACUCUUGAUCUCAGCUCAGAUCAUGAUGUCACGGUUCACGAGAUUGAGCCCCGAGUUGGGCUC
Long non-coding RNA from Felis catus (domestic cat), 1503 nucleotides. RefSeq lists it as uncharacterized. The transcript is spliced from 5 exons. Lineage: Eukaryota; Metazoa; Chordata; Mammalia; Carnivora; Felidae. The record is from RefSeq and is a predicted model, not a curated record.